Molecule: ribosomal RNA, 204 nt
Filed under: uncultured bacterium
Lineage: Bacteria
Description: partial 16S ribosomal RNA
Rfam family: Bacterial small subunit ribosomal RNA
Source: RNAcentral
UACGUAGGGGGCUAGCGUUGUCCGGAAUCAUUGGGCGUAAAGCGCGUGUAGGCGGUCCGGUAAGUCCGCUGUGAAAGUCGGGGGCUCAACCCUCGGAUGCCGGUGGAUACUGUCGGGCUUGAGUACGGAAGAGGCGAGUGGAAUUCCUGGUGUAGCGGUGAAAUGCGCAGAUAUCAAGGAGGAACACCAAUUAGCGAAGGGCAG